This 3261-nucleotide long non-coding RNA is filed under the name Canis lupus familiaris (dog). RNAcentral describes it as "lncRNA (ENSCAFG00805006204.1, ENSCAFG00845021356.1)". The record is from RNAcentral. Lineage: Eukaryota; Metazoa; Chordata; Mammalia; Carnivora; Canidae.
UUUAUUCAUGAGAGAUACACAGAGAGAGGCAGAGACAGAGGCAGAGGGAGAAAAGGGCUCCUCGCAGGGAGCCCAAAGCGGAACUCGAUCCCAGAACCUGGGAUCACGUCCUGAGCUGAAAGCAGAUGCUCAACUGCUGAGCCACCCAGGUGUCCCUCUUUUUAAAGAUUUUUUAAAAGUAAUCUCUAUACCCAACAUGGGCCUCAAACUCACAACCACAAGAUCCAGAGUCACAUGCUCUACUGACUGAGCCAGUCAGGCCCUCCUUCAUCUACAUUUUCAAACACUCAUCUUACCUAAAAGGUAAGCCAUUUUUUUGACUCAUUUUUUUAAACUAAAAUUCCCAAGUAGGAGGAAAGCAGGUAGAAAAUGUCAACACUAAUCAAAAUGUUGUCUUACAGCCUUGACAUAUUUUUUUUUUUUCUGAACACCACCACCAAAACACAAUUUAAGUAUAAUCUAGAAAUUCAGAUUAUGGGGUUAUUUUCCUGUUCCCAUAUUUUUCUUUACUGAGAGAGGCAGAGAUGAGGUAAAUGGGGGCUUUUUCCCACUGGGCAGGUGACAAUUUAAAGGGUCUGAUCUGUCUUGUGGGGCUGGUUGUCCUUGUGCCUCAGUCACGGGAGAGGAGGGAAGUUUGACAAAGGAGGAAGAUUAAAAUUUAUAAAAAGGCCACUGUUGAAAAAGGGACCCGUUGUUCCUAGGGGAAGAGUCUUCUGAUGGCCAGUUGGUCCGGAAGCUCUUGCUUCCUGUCCAAAACCAUAGUGCUGGGACAAACAGCCACUCCCAGGGCACUGGGACCUGGGAUGGAGGAGGCAGACAAACCUGAAACGGUGCAUGGCUCCGGGAGCCAGUGCUGGCCAUGGGGCCACAUCAUCAACCAGGGCCUGUUAAGUGUUGCAAGGUGGUCUGCAAGGGCCAUGAAACGCGAACCCUGGGGUCUGUGCCUUGAUUCCUUCUGACUAGGAUCCCACCCAAGAGUGGUGGGAGGCCUGAGAUUUGCCCUUGGGCACAGAGAACUGGAGAGUAAAUGCACUUCUUGAGAAGGGAACCAGAGCUUUCAUCAGCCUGUGAUGAGGAGAGAUGAGGCCUAGCAGACAAAAUUGGCACACCCAACACACAGGACCAUGGAAGGGUGGGAAAGAAGGGAGAAGGGAGAGAAAGGGAAAGGAGAGAAGGAAAGAGAAGAGGAAGAGAGGGAGACGUGGAAGAGAAGGGAGGACGAAGUAGAAAGAGCCACCAUUUCUUCCUAGGCCACAAAGAAGGUGUUGUCUAUGACUCAGCAGUGGAAUUCAAGUCUCCAAAGGGGAAAAAAGCAAAAGGAAAGAGAGCCGGGACUUGCACAGGUGACAGUCAAAGGGGGUAAACUGAGGAAGUGUUACUCUGUAGCCAGACACUGUCCCACAUCCUUCUUUUCCUCUUCAUGUUCAGGACUUCCCUUGAAAUGGACACUUUCUUGAGCCCCAUUUUCAUGCUAAGGAAGCUGAGCCUUAGAGAAGUCCACAUCUUUGGUUGCUUUGCCCAUGAUGUUUUCUUCUCUUGCUGCAAACCAAGAGCAGCCCAACCUGUGAGUCUGCACACAUGACAGUAUCUCCUAACACUUCUGAUGAGAAAAGAAAACUAGCCCAACGCCGUAAGGGGUGACAGUCUCCUGCCAGGAACCCUGGAAUCACACUAGAGCAGAGGGAAUGUGGGAGAGACCUGAUACCAUCAAGGGGCUGUGGAAGCAAAGGAAGAUAGUGAAGUAUGGACCACAGAGUAGAGCUGUAGGAGACGACCGAGGGGAAGCUCCUGGGUGUAGUUCACCAUGUCCCUUCAAAGAAAGGGCAGGCUGGAGCUUAGCUGAGGCAGUGCUUGUGGUGUGUGGGCCUGAGGUAGCCAUGGUGGGUGGGGGGGUGCUUACUGGUUGAGCAACAGCAAGGUGACCAACAAGACUGCAGCUGAGGGAGAGGAGAAGACAAAGGAGCAUGAAAUCCAAGGUGUAGCCCUUUCAGCCAUGGAAAGUUGUGUGGUUUUUACUCUUAGUGGGAUGGGAAGCAAAUGGAAGGAGGAGAGCCAAAUAAGUGCUGAAAUUGGACAUGGAACUCUUUGUACUUGGUAUUCAACAUUUUUGUAGCCUUGACACUUCUCUAAUUUAAAAAGUAUGUAAAAAUCUCUAUCUAUCCAACCAUCCACCCAUCCACCCAUCAUCCACCCAUCCAUCCAUCUAUCCACUUACAUCCAUCCAUCCACCAUCCAUCUAUCCACUUACCCAUCUAUCCUAUCCAUCCAUCCAUCCAUCCAUCCAUCCAUCCAUCCAUUUCCCUCUCUCUCUCUCCUCUUUCUAUGCUUUUUUAUAUGUAUCCCUAGUGGUCUAUUUAAAAACAAACAAGCAUAUUUUACUAACUUUUCUGCAUCUUGCCUUUCUAUUUAAUAUACUUGGAAAUCUCUAUAAGUCAGCUGAUAAACACGUAAAUCACCACACUAACAGCUGCUAAAUACCCCACUUCAUUUAGUAUUCCUAACCAACUUCUCAAGGUUUGUGUGUUUCCAUCAUGAAUACAUAUGUAAAGCACCUAAUUAUUAUUAUAUAAAAAUAUUAGACUUGGCUUUCAUCAUGCCCCACUCCCUGAAUGGGGGAAAGUGUGUGUUUCCAAACUAAACUAAAAUUCAGGUUUGCCACUGCCUUUACCUUACAUUUAUGAGUUUCCAUGUUCCCUUUAAGGCUUCGAGCCGGGCACACGUGGGCUGCAUCACUGAAGUGAUGUGGCUUUUUCUGCUGCCUGGGUGAAACCGUCUCUGAGGUGCGGUGGAAGGACAGCAAACCCCGGGUGUUGUAAGCAGAAGCAGAAUAAAAAUAGGAUGGGUCCUUGCAAAGAGGAAAUGAAGCCGAGAACUACAUGGGUCUCUAAGAAAGCCCUCCAGGCCUGUGGUUCUGAGGGACCAGGAGGGAGGAGGACACAGUGAGGAAGGAAGUCCACAGGAAGCAGGGCACACUCGGCCACAUCCAGUCCCGGGAGGGGAAGCCUCUUGUCUGUCCCCUCUGGGUCGCCAGCUCUGCCAGCAGAGCUCGAAUGUUUAUACAGCUUGGCUGGCAAGCAUGUUGGCAGGCGUGUUGGCCCUCGCUGGGUGGGACACCAGGCCCUGCUGGGGCUCUGAGAUCAGCUCGGAUGAGGCCUUCUCCUGGGUUCCCACCCAUCUUCCCAUUUCUGGCUGGACGCAGCCAGGUCCAGGCCAGCACACGGCAGGAAAGACCUGGGGAGAUUGGCCAAGGCCCCUGGUACC